RNAcentral lists this ribosomal RNA (1206 nucleotides) under Escherichia coli. RNAcentral describes it as "partial 23S ribosomal RNA". It matches the Rfam family "Bacterial large subunit ribosomal RNA", at positions 419 to 1630 of the family's 2925-position model. The record is from RNAcentral. Lineage: Bacteria; Pseudomonadati; Pseudomonadota; Gammaproteobacteria; Enterobacterales; Enterobacteriaceae.
GGGACACGUGGUAUCCUGUCUGAAUAUGGGGGGACCAUCCUCCAAGGCUAAAUACUCCUGACUGACCGAUAGUGAACCAGUACCGUGAGGGAAAGGCGAAAAGAACCCCGGCGAGGGGAGUGAAAAAGAACCUGAAACCGUGUACGUACAAGCAGUGGGAGCCUCUUUAUGGGGUGACUGCGUACCUUUUGUAUAAUGGGUCAGCGACUUAUAUUCUGUAGCAAGGUUAACCGAAUAGGGGAGCCGAAGGGAAACCGAGUCUUAACUGGGCGUUAAGUUGCAGGGUAUAGACCCGAAACCCGGUGAUCUAGCCAUGGGCAGGUUGAAGGUUGGGUAACACUAACUGGAGGACCGAACCGACUAAUGUUGAAAAAUUAGCGGAUGACUUGUGGCUGGGGGUGAAAGGCCAAUCAAACCGGGAGAUAGCUGGUUCUCCCCGAAAGCUAUUUAGGUAGCGCCUCGUGAAUUCAUCUCCGGGGGUAGAGCACUGUUUCGGCAAGGGGGUCAUCCCGACUUACCAACCCGAUGCAAACUGCGAAUACCGGAGAAUGUUAUCACGGGAGACACACGGCGGGUGCUAACGUCCGUCGUGAAGAGGGAAACAACCCAGACCGCCAGCUAAGGUCCCAAAGUCAUGGUUAAGUGGGAAACGAUGUGGGAAGGCCCAGACAGCCAGGAUGUUGGCUUAGAAGCAGCCAUCAUUUAAAGAAAGCGUAAUAGCUCACUGGUCGAGUCGGCCUGCGCGGAAGAUGUAACGGGGCUAAACCAUGCACCGAAGCUGCGGCAGCGACACUGUGUGUUGUUGGGUAGGGGAGCGUUCUGUAAGCCUGCGAAGGUGUACUGUGAGGUAUGCUGGAGGUAUCAGAAGUGCGAAUGCUGACAUAAGUAACGAUAAAGCGGGUGAAAAGCCCGCUCGCCGGAAGACCAAGGGUUCCUGUCCAACGUUAAUCGGGGCAGGGUGAGUCGACCCCUAAGGCGAGGCCGAAAGGCGUAGUCGAUGGGAAACAGGUUAAUAUUCCUGUACUUGGUGUUACUGCGAAGGGGGGACGGAGAAGGCUAUGUUGGCCGGGCGACGGUUGUCCCGGUUUAAGCGUGUAGGCUGGUUUUCCAGGCAAAUCCGGAAAAUCAAGGCUGAGGCGUGAUGACGAGGCACUACGGUGCUGAAGCAACAAAUGCCCUGCUUCCAGGAAAAGCCUCUAAGCAUCA